This is a long non-coding RNA of Mustela erminea (ermine), 1723 nucleotides long. RefSeq lists it as uncharacterized. The transcript has 2 exons. NCBI's taxonomy places the organism in Eukaryota, Metazoa, Chordata, Mammalia, Carnivora, Mustelidae. The record is from RefSeq and is a predicted model, not a curated record.
UACUCAUGUUGAAAUGAAUAGAAUGCAGAUGAUUAACUCAGAAAUAGGCAGCUCAUCUGAUGAAGAGGAAGAAUAACCAUCAGCCAAGAGGACCUGUCCUACUAAACCUUCUGCUUCUCCUCUAAGGCUUAAAGACUUUUGUGUCUCUCUCAUCAAGCUUGUCCGGGGUCUUCAGACUCAAGCCUUUGUGCCAGAGAUACCUGCCUCCUUUGCUCAUAUUCACACAAAUCCACAGGUACCGUGUUUAAUGAUUUAGAAGAGUUUUUCUGUUUUUAACGAGGAUCCAAUCAGGAGAAGAUUAGCAGCAGCAGCAGUUUUAGAAUUAAUCAUUUUGUUUUUGUGUUUAAAACUCAAGUUAUUAACUACUUCAAAAUAGAUCUUCAAGAUGGAGUGGACCAAUUGUAAUCAAAAUUCUGGUGCACAGCCCCGAACAUUGCUGCCUCUCCUUGGCAUAUUUCUAAAUAGUUAUACAUUGCUUUCUCAAUCUGUGUGCAUCAUUAGUAGAGGCAGAGAAGCAGCUUAGCUCCUUGUCCCUUUCCUCUGUUGGCUUCUACACUCAAGGGCUUCUUUUCACCCCUCCAGACCCAUUUUCCACCCAUCCAUGGCCAACCAGGGAGGCUGGCCCAUAAGGAUGUCAUCAACAUACUGUAAUGCCUUCUGGCUCUAGUUGGGUUUGGCUAAUGGAAGCCAUCAGCAGGAGAUGGAGAUGGUGGGUGUGGAGGAGGUGGAGGUGUGUAUUCCAGAGGCUAGCUUCCUUCCAGCUCAAGAGGGAAUGCUGUGUCCCACUUCCCAUGAGUGGCCUUUUCCCUGCAGCUAUGCUCUGCCCAAUUUAUGGAAGCAGUCCUGCUCAAUCAAAAAUGUCUCAAAACUGGGAGUUCUCCAGAGUAUGAUGGCCUCCAAAAGGGAGACAAAGGCAAGUCUUGACUCUAGACUAUGGAGUUAGAGGUUAAAACAAGGGUGCUUCUAGCAAUGUCUUUGGGGCCCACAGGAUAGUUUUUAGUCUGUAAAAUGAGGGGGAUAGGCCACCUUUACAAAAUACUCUCUCAUAGGUGGGGGAGAUAGUCCUAUUUGUUCCUACGUGCUGCCCUGACAUGCUGGGAUUCAUGCAUGCAGCCUGCAGCCCAGGAACUCUAGCUGUCUCACUUCUGCAAAGGGUCAGGUAAGGGAGAUAGAUGCCUGGGUCCAGGGAGAUGGGAGUAUUAUGCCACUGUGGUCACAGUUGAAGUUCCUUCCCUUGCCUGAAGGGGUCAGCAAAGACCCAGGAAGGGUGGAGACAUCUUGACUCCCAGGAGAGAAACAAUUGCUAAUAGGCCAUCAGGCCCAGGGGACCUUCCCUACGUAGUUGCUGCGUGAUUUCUCGGCUUGCACGUUGUCAUCAACAGAUCCUCCCACAGGGCUCCCCUAAGUGUCUAGAGAUGUUGGGGCAGGCUCUGGGUGUUGGAGAAUGGGAGUCUAUGUGGGAUACAGGAAAGGGAGUGGGCCCAAGGGCCCCCACUUCAGGGAAGGCACAAGGGUGUAGAAUCUCCCAAGCUCUGCCCUCUUGGAUGCUUCCCCUGGGAUGUCUGUGCCCUAGCCAGAGUCUGUAAUCAAGUCAUCAAAGCUAAUAGGAUGAUGUCCACAUAAAAUGAAAUUGUGGAUGAAGAAUGGGGAUGCAGGAAACAGACUAAUGGUUCUAAUGCUUUUUCCUCAACCUUUCACUUCUCAAUAAAGUACAGUCAUCUGA